GACGAACGCUGGCGGCGUGCCUAAUACAUGCAAGUUGAGCGCUGAAGGUUGGUACUUGUACCAACUGGAUGAGCAGCGAACGGGUGAGUAACGCGUGGGGAAUCUGCCUUUGAGCGGGGGACAACAUUUGGAAACGAAUGCUAAUACCGCAUAAAAACUUUAAACACAAGUUUUAAGUUUGAAAGAUGCAAUUGCAUCACUCAAAGAUGAUCCCGCGUUGUAUUAGCUAGUUGGUGAGGUAAAGGCUCACCAAGGCGAUGAUACAUAGCCGACCUGAGAGGGUGAUCGGCCACAUUGGGACUGAGACACGGCCCAAACUCCUACGGGAGGCAGCAGUAGGGAAUCUUCGGCAAUGGACGAAAGUCUGACCGAGCAACGCCGCGUGAGUGAAGAAGGUUCUCGGAUCGUAAAACUCUGUCGGUAGAGAAGAACGUUGGUGAGAGUGGAAAGCUCAUCAAGUGACGGUAACUACCCAGAAAGGGACGGCUAACUACGUG
RNAcentral lists this ribosomal RNA (497 nucleotides) under uncultured bacterium. Its description in RNAcentral is "partial 16S ribosomal RNA". It matches the Rfam family "Bacterial small subunit ribosomal RNA", at positions 28 to 507 of the family's 1533-position model. The record is from RNAcentral.